Molecule: ribosomal RNA, 425 nt
Filed under: uncultured bacterium
Lineage: Bacteria
Description: partial 16S ribosomal RNA
Rfam family: Bacterial small subunit ribosomal RNA
Source: RNAcentral
GUGGGGAAUCUUAGACAAUGGGCGCAAGCCUGAUCUAGCCAUGCCGCGUGAGUGAUGAAGGCCCUAGGGUUGUAAAGCUCUUUCAGCUGGGAAGAUAAUGACGGUACCAGCAGAAGAAGCCCCGGCUAACUCCGUGCCAGCAGCCGCGGUAAUACGGAGGGGGCUAGCGUUGUUCGGAAUUACUGGGCGUAAAGCGCACGUAGGCGGACUGGAAAGUUGGGGGUGAAAUCCCGGGGCUCAACCUCGGAACUGCCUUCAAAACUCCCAGUCUUGAGUUCGAGAGAGGUGAGUGGAAUUCCGAGUGUAGAGGUGAAAUUCGUAGAUAUUCGGAGGAACACCAGUGGCGAAGGCGGCUCACUGGCUCGAUACUGACGCUGAGGUGCGAAAGCGUGGGGAGCAAACAGGAUUAGAAACCCGAGUAGUCC